UAAUAUGUAUGUGGAAACGAUAUUGUUUUACAGGUAGCCUAAAUGAAAAUAAAGUAUGUGCGUGCAUUCAACCACAGCCUUCAGUUGUUUUAUCAGCAUACCGGUAGUUAUUUUACUCUGAAAAUGUAUACUGCAGUUAAAAUAAUGGUUCGUUAGAGUUACACUAUUUUGGACACUAUAUGAGUAUGUAUUAUCAUAGAUUGCUACAAUUAUUCAGCCCAUCGAAGAUCGGAUUAAACUAUCGCCUUUGGUCCUUCACAAACUAUAGUAUGCGCGGAGCAUAUUUACUGUGACACGACGAGGCUCCGUGGAUUAGGUAAAAUUAACAUAGCCAGCUAGCUAUGUUGUUGUUUUUGUACUAACUAUUACGUUAAAAAGAAAUGUCACAAUGUAACAUCAUUGGUUAAGUUGAACUAUUUCAAUCAUUUUCGAACCUCAUAAGGUUUUGUUUGGACAUGAUCGAAGCGGUAUUGCCACGAUUUAUCACCGUGUUUCGUGCUGGCUAGUUUAGCUAAUGGUGUUGGCACAGCGUUUUAAAAUGUAGCUAGUAUGUUUGGUGUUGGCUACUAGAAAGCUCUCUGCAGCUACACAAUGUUUUUUUCUCAUCAGUGUCUGUCAAUGUGUCCCAUAUGUUAGCUAACAUUAACGUGUAAUGUGUCUCGUUUCUAAUUGGUUAGCUAAUCCAUUAUCUUGAUUUGAGCCAGUAAUAAUUAUUGAGUGACCAGUUAGGAUAUAGAAAACCUAGCCAUUAUGUAUCAAUUUAGGCCUAACGGUUACUCUACCACCCACAGAAUUUUGAUCUGCCCGGAGUACCCCUGAAGUACCCCUCCCCCCGUGUAUUUUACCAGUAAACCUAUGGUCUCAUGACAUAAGUAUUCUCCAGUACCACCCCUAUGGAUAGGCCACGUACCCCAGGGAACGACUUGUUUAGUAGGUAAUGUUAUACCGAGAUACUUAUUUGGAAAGGCAAGUUACAAAAAUAGAAUGAGUAUCAACCAUAAUAAAAACAACCCAUACUUCAGUAAUUUGUUUGAUGUUGUAUGAUGGUAGAAGCUAGCUAAAAUAUAAUUUGAUAGUAGACCGCUAUUUAACUACACUUGCUACAAACACAUUUAUUGAAUCGACCACUAGAGGGAGGCAUAGCCUUAUCCAUUGUCAACAGGCUGCAAUGUUUUUACUUAAUUUUUUACAAGGUUUAUACUCUAACCAACCAUGUAGAGUGUUGUGUGUAGCAUUUUUUUUAGACUCUUAUACUCUAAUUGUUAAUCUGACUUCCUACAUGUCUCCCUUUGCAUUCAUAUGCUUUACAUUUUUCAACACAUUACUCUUGAGUUAUUUUCUAUUCAACAGAUGAUUUCUUGACUUGGUGUCUGUUGUCUGCUUGGUUGAGUUGAGACAAAUAAAGAGGGAGAUGGCAGUGCCAGCGGCCGGGGGCGUAGACCUCAGUCGGAAAUUUGUGUCAGAGACUGUGAUCGAGGAGAAGAGGAAGCAAAUACAGGAGGAAUGGGAAAAAGUUAGGAAGCCAGAGGACCCAGAGGAGGCUCCUGAGGAAGAGUAUGAUGGGCGUUCACUCUUUGAGCGGCUACAGGAGCAGAAGGACAAGAAGCAGGAGGAGUAUGAUGAGCAGUUUAAAUUCAAGAACAUGGUCAAAGGCCUGGAUGAGGAUGAGUCUCACUUCUUGGAUGAGGUCUCCAGGCAACAGAGCCUGGUGGAGAAACAACGCAGAGAUGAGGAGCAGCAUGAGCUAAAAGAGUACAGAAGUGCUCUGAAAAAGCUGGCAUCCAGUGAGAGUCGGAAGGAGCCAGAGCGGAGAGUGGGACCUAGACCAGCUGAGGUCAAGACCAGUCACCUGUCCCAGGCCCAUCUGUUGGCCGGGGCAGUGAAGCGACGCAGCUCCUCACAGUCCUCAGACAAUAGCAAGAAACAGAAGGUUGAGGAGUCUGCAGCAUGGAAUGGGGGCCAGACAGGAGGCGGGCAGAGAUGCGGGUAAGCAGACCUCCACAGUAAAGACGACAGGCAUCCUCCACCUGCCAUCGGCCGCCGUGUGUGUGGGCAUCCUGCCGGGCCUGGGAGCCUACUCCGGCAGCAGUGACUCUGAGUCCAGUAGCGACAGCGAAGUUUAAAUCCCUGGCAGCCUAACCUGACGACAUCCCCCUGCGGCUGCAAGCUGUGCUAUUGGCCAAGGGAACAGUGACUGACAUCUUGGGAUCAAGGAUGGGACUGCCACAUCACAUUCAUACCAAACCUUAGAAAACAUCAAGAAAGCAAGCCUGAGCUUUGUGGGCAGUCUCAGAUGCAAUGUAUGUGGAAAUAUUUGUCCUUUUAUUUUUGUGUAUUUUUGAAUGCGUCAGUGCAAAUAAUUCUGGAUUUGAAUGGACUUCUCUCCAUUGAAAUGUGUGUUUGAUCAUUGGAAGGUCGAGGCUUGGGGAGAAGAAAGUAAAGCGUUUUCUUUGUGUAUUUGGUGUGACGAGUUGAAUAAUGAAUGAAUGAUAAAUGGAAUGAAAUACAGUUUGAAUAAAAUGGAAGUGAUUUCUGUUUGUACUCAUUCACAUGCAGUCUUUAACCAAUAAGAAUAGAAUGUAGGAAUACGUUUCUCAGGGUGCUCUUUGUAGGAAGCCUUGUUGGUAUUGCAUACACAUCUUAAGAAAAUUCUCUCAAUUGGAUAAAGUGAAAAGUUGAUUUAACCAGGCAUAUCCAGGAUACUGAUUGUUUCAAACUAACUUUUUGAAAUGUUCAAGCAUAAUUAAUUAAUUGUGUUGCCUCGACCUUAUGUUUCAGUCAAGCACCCAGCACAGUGACAUUUCUGUAUGUUUAUUGACCUGAGUGGUAACGAAUACAUGGUGAACAUUAUAAAAUCAAGAACGUCUUCAAGGUACAGUACAAGUACAACAAAUUACAAUUCACUGCAUAAAAGGUACAGAAAAACUUUUCAUAAACAUUUUCUUUUGAAAACAGAACAUUGUAUAAAUUUACAUUCAGGGUAGAGUAUAUGCAUUUCUAAUUUUCUCUUCAGGGGACUGCAAAGUAGUAUUCUUUGACACAUACUGUAUUUCUCUUCCACAAAGUCUUGCUUUCAGAUAAGGUUAAAAAAUCAGAUGAAUACAUAUUAAAAAACCUUUUCAUGCA
RNA transcript from Oncorhynchus kisutch (coho salmon), 3126 nucleotides. It is a transcript of the gene named PSME3-interacting protein-like, with no coding region annotated. The transcript has 8 exons. Lineage: Eukaryota; Metazoa; Chordata; Actinopteri; Salmoniformes; Salmonidae. The record is from RefSeq and is a predicted model, not a curated record.